UUAGAUGCGAGGGCAAAAUAGCACUUUAUGGACUUCCACAGAGGACAUCAUGUUUAAUACGGUUCCGGAAAAAUCCAGUCAGAAGUUGUUCACGGAGUUUUCACAAUAACUGCUUCUCAUGAACCGAAGCUGGAUUUGCGCGACGUCUCCUCUUGAAAGUUGGAUUACUGUGCACUUCUGGAUCACAGACUGUAAGUAUUCAUGUUUAUUAUUUGCCUUUUACUGUACAUUACGUAACCGGUAACCGGAGAUUAACAUAAUGUGCGUGUAGAGCUAAGCUUGCAAGCUAAUUGUUUUGUGUUGUAAUACUGUAUUUCAUAAACAACGUACCAUAUUUACACACGUGUAUGUUGAAUUAUGCAGGCUUUCGUUUUUUUUAUCGAUGUUGGUUUAGACAUGUUUACAAACUUGCUAAGUUGCUAAGAUAAAUACAAAUACAAAUGCCAGCUAAACUGUUACCAGUAAAAUUUGUUCUCAUGAUCAAACUCAAGAAACUCUAAGUACAGAUGAUUUGUUUAAAGUUAUAUGUAUUUUACUGUUGUAUUUACUUGAAGCUUUCUUAGAUUUUGAAACGAAGUAAACACAUAAUGUGUGUUGCUAAUGUUGGGCCAUGUAAUAUGUAAUACAUUAACGUUUUAAUGAAUAGUCUAACGAUUUAUAGUCGUUGUACUCUAUUGUUAUAAUAUUUCUUUUUGACUGAAUACAUGUUUGUUUUAUUUGUCUAUAUCCUAGAUUCGCAGCUGGACACAUCCUUCUACACUGUAUGCAAACAUGCAACAUCAUUACUCACAGUACAAGGAGUCAGACUGGCAUAUGAGGAGCAAAGGUGUUUAACACAUUAUGUAUUUACCUAGUGAAACCACUACCAGUCUUAAAUGUAUAACUGAUGAUGACAAAGUUUUUUUUCUCUGCAUAAUCAUAGGAACCCAGGCAGUAGCAUCGUUUCACAAUGUUUCCAUCACCAUCAUCAGUGGAUGCCUUUGCCGUCCGUAGCCUGAGAUUUCAGAUUUGCAGCAAAAAAAAUUGAUUUUCUCAUUUAUUGGAAUGCUAUGCAGGUAUUUGUACCUUGCAGCCAUCCAUUACAAUGUCACCAAGCCGUAACAAAAGCAGGAGAGGGAAAGUACAAGGCUAUGUUCCCAAAACACAAAUGACAUACCUUAUGUGGAUGAUGUGAUCAGGCUUGUGUUUGAUGAGGUAUUUGAAGAUAAGCUGAAGGAAACCCCGAUUCCAAUGGACCUGGCAUCACAGUUUGAGAGACCUUCAAAGGAGGACGUGAUUGCAUGCCAUCUUCAGUGCAGGGGUCGUCGAAAGCCAAAAUUGUGACCGAUCUGAUCAGGAAGCUCCAAGCGUAUCUGGAGAACAACACACGACAGGAUGAUAACCUUAUAGUGUCGUCUUAGAUAGCACCAGCUGACAAAGCUUUGAUAUGCCAUUUAUCUGAAUAGAUAGCUGUAAGAAAUGAAUUGAACAAUUUUUGAAAGAAGAGCACAAUAUGGUUACUAAAGUAUGUUUAUUUGUAUAUUGUUUAACAUUUAAAUAUAUAUUUGUAAUAAAUAAAAAAAACUUUUGACUGACUAUUA
Molecule: long non-coding RNA, 1580 nt
Organism: Paramisgurnus dabryanus
Lineage: Eukaryota; Metazoa; Chordata; Actinopteri; Cypriniformes; Cobitidae
Source: RefSeq, a predicted model, not a curated record